This 320-nucleotide ribosomal RNA is filed under the name uncultured eukaryote. RNAcentral's name for it is "partial 18S ribosomal RNA". It matches the Rfam family "Eukaryotic small subunit ribosomal RNA", at positions 1470 to 1796 of the family's 1831-position model. The record is from RNAcentral.
CCCCUAGAUGUUCUGGGCUGCACGCGCGCUACACUGAACAGUUCAACAAGUCUUAACCUUGGCCGAUAGGUCUGGGUAAUCUUUGAACGCUGUUCGUGAUUGGGAUAGACCUUUGCAAUUAUGGGUCUUCAACGAGGAAUUCCUAGUAAACGCAAGUCAUCAGCUUGCAUUGAUUACGUCCCUGCCCUUUGUACACACCGCCCGUCGCACCUACCGAUUGAAUGGUCCGGUGAAAUCUCGGGACGGCGGCUUGGUCGCUUGCGUCCGACUGCUGAAACUUGAUUAAACCAUAUCAUUUAGAGGAAGGUGAAGUCGUANCA